GCGCAGCAGGCGCGAAAACUUUACAAUGUGCGAAAGCACGAUAAGGGAACUCUGAGUGCCUCCUAAGGAGGCUGUUCAGGUGUCUAAAAGCACCUGAAGGAAGGGCUGGGUAAGACCGGUGCCAGCCGCCGCGGUAACACCGGCAGCCCAAGUGGUAGCCACGUUUAUUGGGUCUAAAGCGUCCGUAGCCGGCUGGGUAAGUUCCUUGGGAAAUUUGGCUGCUUAACAGUCAAGCUUUCAGGGAAUACUGCCCGGCUUGGGACCGGGAGAGGUCAGAGGUACUCCAGGGGUAGGGGUGAAAUCCAUUAAUCCUUGGGGGACCACCGGUAGCGAAGGCGUCUGACCAGACCGGGUCCGACGGUGAGGGACGAAGGCUAGGGGCGCGAACCGGAUUAGAUACCCCUGUAG
This 408-nucleotide ribosomal RNA is filed under the name uncultured microorganism. RNAcentral describes it as "bacterial SSU rRNA". It matches the Rfam family "Archaeal small subunit ribosomal RNA", at positions 330 to 744 of the family's 1478-position model. The record is from RNAcentral.